UACGUAGGGCGCAAGCGUUGUCCGGAAUUAUUGGGCGUAAAGAGCUCGUAGGCGGCUUGUCACGUCGGGUGUGAAAGCCCGGGGCUUAACCCCGGGUCUGCAUUCGAUACGGGCUAGCUAGAGUGUGGUAGGGGAGAUCGGAAUUCCUGGUGUAGCGGUGAAAUGCGUAGAUAUCUGGAGGAACACCGGUGGCGAAGGCGACAUCCUGGACCGGCAUUGACGCUGAGGCGCGAAAGCCAGGGGAGCAAACGGG
RNAcentral lists this ribosomal RNA (253 nucleotides) under uncultured bacterium. Its description in RNAcentral is "partial 16S ribosomal RNA". It matches the Rfam family "Bacterial small subunit ribosomal RNA", at positions 524 to 776 of the family's 1533-position model. The record is from RNAcentral.